RNAcentral lists this ribosomal RNA (468 nucleotides) under uncultured bacterium. Its description in RNAcentral is "partial 16S ribosomal RNA". It matches the Rfam family "Bacterial small subunit ribosomal RNA", at positions 28 to 507 of the family's 1533-position model. The record is from RNAcentral.
GACGAACGCUGGCGGCGUGCUUAACACAUGCAAGUCGAACGGAAAGGCCCUGCUUUUGUGGGGUGCUCGAGUGGCGAACGGGUGAGUAACACGUGAGUAACCUGCCCUUGACUUUGGGAUAACUUCAGGAAACUGGGGCUAAUACCGGAUAGGAGCUCCUGCUGCAUGGUGGGGGUUGGAAAGUUUCGGCGGUUGGGGAUGGACUCGCGGCUUAUCAGCUUGUUGGUGGGGUAGUGGCUUACCAAGGCUUUGACGGGUAGCCGGCCUGCGAGGGUGACCGGCCACAUUGGGACUGGGAUACGGCCCAGACUCCUACGGGAGGCAGCAGUGGGGAAUAUUGCACAAUGGGCGGAAGCCUGAUGCAGCAACGCCGCGUGCGGGAUGACGGCCUUCGGGUUGUAAACCGCUUUCGCCUGUGACGAAGCGUGAGUGACGGUAAUGGGUAAAGAAGCACCGGCUAACUACGUG